RNAcentral lists this unclassified non-coding RNA (248 nucleotides) under fungal sp. RNAcentral describes it as "partial internal transcribed spacer region". The stretch from base 1 to 46 matches the Rfam family "Eukaryotic small subunit ribosomal RNA", at positions 1786 to 1831 of the family's 1831-position model. The record is from RNAcentral. Lineage: Eukaryota; Fungi.
AAGUCGUAACAAGGUAUCCGUAGGUGAACCUGCGGAUGGAUCAUUACAGAGGAGAAAGCAAGCUCACGCUGUUCACCUUUGCUGUUAAAGUCGUGUGUUUUAAGGGUGAGUGUGUGGCGGUGUUGUCCACAGCACGCUGCCGCCCUCACCCUCAUCCACCAUCAACCUCUAUUCAACUCUACAGCUGUCUGGCAAUAUACCACAUUAUAUAACCUAUACAACUGCUAGCAACGGAUCACUCGGCUCUC